GACGAACGCUGGCGGCGUGCCUAAUACAUGCAAGUCGAACGAAGCUGUUUUAACUGGUGCUUGCACCGACUUAAACAACUGAGUGGCGAACGGGUGAGUAACACGUGGGUAACCUGCCCCAAAGCGGGGGAUAACAUUUGGAAACAGAUGCUAAUACCGCAUAAUCACAGAAACCACAUGGUUUCUGUGUCAAAGAUGGUUUCGGCUAUCACUUUGGGAUGGACCCGCGGCGUAUUAGCUAGUUGGUAAGGUAAUGGCUUACCAAGGCAAUGAUACGUAGCCGAACUGAGAGGUUGAUCGGCCACAUUGGGACUGAGACACGGCCCAAACUCCUACGGGAGGCAGCAGUAGGGAAUCUUCCACAAUGGACGAAAGUCUGAUGGAGCAACGCCGCGUGAGUGGAGAAGGUCUUCGGAUCGUAAAACUCUGUUGUCAGAGAAGAACGUGUGCGAGAGUAACUGCUCGUGCAGUGACGGUAUCUGGCCAGAAAGCCACGGCUAACUACGUGCCAGCCGCCGCGGUAA
Molecule: ribosomal RNA, 524 nt
Filed under: uncultured bacterium
Lineage: Bacteria
Description: partial 16S ribosomal RNA
Rfam family: Bacterial small subunit ribosomal RNA
Source: RNAcentral